AUUGAACGCUGGCGGCAUGCCUUACACAUGCAAGUCGAACGGUAACAGGUCUUCGGAUGCUGACGAGUGGCGAACGGGUGAGUAAUACAUCGGAACGUGCCCGAUCGUGGGGGAUAACGGAGCGAAAGCUUUGCUAAUACCGCAUACGAUCUACGGAUGAAAGCAGGGGACCGCAAGGCCUUGCGCGGACGGAGCGGCCGAUGGCAGAUUAGGUAGUUGGUGGGAUAAAAGCUUACCAAGCCGACGAUCUGUAGCUGGUCUGAGAGGACGACCAGCCACACUGGGACUGAGACACGGCCCAGACUCCUACGGGAGGCAGCAGUGGGGAAUUUUGGACAAUGGGCGAAAGCCUGAUCCAGCCAUGCCGCGUGCAGGAUCAAGGCCUUCGGGUUGUAAACUGCUUUUGUACGGAACGAAAAGACUCUUUCUAAUAAAGAGGGUCCAUGACGGUACCGUAAGAAUAAGCACCGGCUAACUACGUG
Molecule: ribosomal RNA, 482 nt
Filed under: uncultured bacterium
Lineage: Bacteria
Description: partial 16S ribosomal RNA
Rfam family: Bacterial small subunit ribosomal RNA
Source: RNAcentral